RNAcentral lists this long non-coding RNA (1364 nucleotides) under Homo sapiens (human). Its description in RNAcentral is "non-protein coding GATA6-AS1:24". The record is from RNAcentral. Lineage: Eukaryota; Metazoa; Chordata; Mammalia; Primates; Hominidae.
AGUUAUCACAACUCUGUACAAACUGAUACGGUCCCUAGCGGGCAAAAGGGACUGGAAAUGAACGUCGCGGGGUUAUCAGCGCCGAUCUGUCAGCGGCAACUCGCGCGGCCGCAGGCUCGUCCGCUGCAGGAGCCGUGAUAUAUGUCUCGCUCCCUUUCGCUUACAGAAAGGAUUUCUUCCGACAGACGUGACCCCAGAAGGCUGCCGAGGGAGACUUUAGGACAAGAGGCGUUGUUUUUGGAAGGAAGAGGAGCCUGUGCAGAGUUGAACUGGGGUGGAGAGGUGCCUUGUAAAGUAUGGUUUCCAGAGAUGGUGAGACCUCGUAGCUAAGCGUUGUUUCCUCUGCACGUAACUUUUCAGCGUGGCCGCAUUUGGAAAAGGCUGAAGGUAGAAAACUCUGGAAUGGAGAGGCUGGCGACUGGAGCAGGAUCCAGGGGCUUUAAAUUUUAACCUGAAUGCGAUCGAAUGCGCGACUCCCAGAAGAGAUAGCCAGGCGUCCGCCCGGCCGCUCAACCCCCGCCAGGACUCGGAAUGCCUUGCUUUUGGUUCUUUUCGUGAGUUCCGACCAAAUGUUUAAGUGGACUGGGUUUUGCAGAAGCUCAUUUGUAAGCACUGACGGAAAUGGGUUGUGGGCAUUUGAUUUCCUUUGAUUCCAACGUUUUGAAAUAAUGUUUCUCGGAUUUGCUAUUCGAAGCAAUUUUCUAAAAACUCAUAUCUUAUUUGCUAAAAAUAAACUCUUUGGCUCAGUUUGUGUCCAGGCUGUGUACGGCCUCCAACCCUGAGCCCCGAGGAGAUCGAGCCCUGGCGCGAGCCUGAUCUCUGUCCUGUGUGUUUCUUUGUAUUUGCAAGUACAAGGAUGUCUGCGUGGAUAUCCCUGGACACUCGAUACCCCCCGGGGACCUGCUUUUCCCGCAGCUCCGCAGACGCGGCGGGAGGGCGCGCUGGCCCCGGCGCUGCUGGGACAGAGGUGAGCAGCGGGGUGGACAUUGACCGAUUCGACAACGUUCGGGCUCUAAGGGCUCGGGAAGGGACCCGGCAUUUUACCCUCCAGAUUCCCAAUCUAUUUUUAAAAAUAAUGUUCAAAACAUAUGGGAAAAAUAAGUGAUUGCUCCUUUUCAUGGUCACAGAUUGUAUUUAUUUUUUCAGACUGGUUUUCCAACCUAACGAGGGAAUGGGUAGUGAAUGUUGUUGUUGUUGUUGUUGUUUAUGUUGGUUAAUUUCGAAAUAAAACUGUUUAACUCGUACAGUUGAUUCAGACAGAAAACCAGGCUGCCUGACGUCUCCAAUGUGCCUUUUCCCCAAUGCAUCUUUGGCGCUAGGGACCGCUCUGGGGAAGACAAGCAUGUUUUCAAAGCCACUCCCAU